GGAGACGUGGCCGAGCGGUCGAAGGCGGGCGCUUGGAGAGCGUCUGGGCAGCAAUGCCCCUAGAGUUCGAAUCUCUACGUCUCCGCCA
Molecule: transfer RNA, 88 nt
Filed under: Synergistaceae bacterium
Lineage: Bacteria; Thermotogati; Synergistota; Synergistia; Synergistales; Synergistaceae
Description: tRNA-Ser
Rfam family: tRNA
About the family: Transfer RNA (tRNA) molecules are approximately 80 nucleotides in length. Their secondary structure includes four short double-helical elements and three loops (D, anti-codon, and T loops).
Source: RNAcentral